This is a long non-coding RNA of Triticum aestivum (bread wheat), 577 nucleotides long. RefSeq lists it as uncharacterized. The record is from RefSeq and is a predicted model, not a curated record. The transcript is spliced from 2 exons. NCBI's taxonomy places the organism in Eukaryota, Viridiplantae, Streptophyta, Magnoliopsida, Poales, Poaceae.
UUUUUCUAUAUACAUGAACCAUGGAGCAAACAUUCGAUUGUGAUCCAGGCAACAGUCUCACUUGAAAACAAUACCGCACAUCACCUCUUAUCAGGCAAACGUAAUACCUUACAUUACUUUUGAUCCUUAGUAAUGAUGGCCAAAUACAUGAGGAACGGUGUCCAAGCAGUUAUACUACUUUCUUUUGUCAUUGUGGUGUGCUUUGCCUGCCUUGGAUGUGCGAACGGUGAAAGCAUCAAUGACAAGGGGAGCAACGGGAUGAUCGAAGUAGUCCGCCCCCCUUGUUAUAAAGACCAUCAACAGCCCCCAAGCCUGCAAUAUUGCUGUCAAACGGACAGGAUAUGUUGGGUAAACCUUGGGGAAUGCUUCACAAACUGCCCGUGCAAGAUUAAUUGCCCACCGCCACCAGCAACACAGUAGUUGUGCCAUCUCUCAUUCUUUGGGUUAAUAAAUCCCGACCUUAUGGGUCCCGAGAUAAUCAUGUGUUGAUCAGCUAGCAAAUUUGCUAGAAAAUUUUCUAGAAAUUUGAUCCGCCAUUUAAAUAAAUAAUAAAAAACUAGCGACUUGCGCUCCCUCA